This is a long non-coding RNA of Dromiciops gliroides (monito del monte), 556 nucleotides long. RefSeq lists it as uncharacterized. The transcript has 3 exons. The record is from RefSeq and is a predicted model, not a curated record. NCBI's taxonomy places the organism in Eukaryota, Metazoa, Chordata, Mammalia, Microbiotheria, Microbiotheriidae.
UCCUGUUAGAACUAAGGAGAGUGAGUCAGCAUUUCCAGCCUUGUUCUUGGGUUAGAUCUUGAUUUCCUAGUCAGAACUCCUUCCUCAACAGAGAAAUUGUAAGGAAUUUUUAUCUUGAUUUUGUACAGUAGGUUACAAUGAGAGGAAAAGAAAAGAAGAGAAUGGGAGGAGGAGGAAAAUGAGUACAAGGAUGUGUAUGAGAAGAGCAAGGGAAGGGAUGAAGUUUAGUAGGAAAGAGAGAAAAUACUUCUUGGAGAUUGCCCCUUGGGCAGAAGUAAAAAGAAUUUGAAUUGAGGAAUUAGCCACCACUCAACUGCCAUCUCACCUUGGAUCUUCACUCAGCACCUGGGACCUGCUCAUCCUAGAACAUCCAUCUGCCUCAGUGGCCUCCUCAGCCUGGAAUAUCCCUCUGCCAUCACAGAUGUGCAGAUCUAUGUCAGGCCUACAAGGAAAUUCAGUGCAGACUGUGAACUAUGGACAACAAAGGAAAUCUCAUAAAGUCUUUUCCCAGACAGCCAGAAUCCCUCUUUACUAUUUGUGAUGGACCCGCUUCUGU